GGAUGUGAGGGUGAUCUGGCUGAGACAUCUGUCACCCCAGUGAUCGCCAGGGUUGGUUCAGGUGAUCUGGCUGCCUAGGCAGGUGUCCCCUUCCUCCCUCACCACUCCAUGUGUGUCUCCCCCAAAGCUGUGCAUUUGAUCGAAGAGGACGACCUUCCCUGAGUAGAGACGGACUGGUCUUCUGUGGAGAUAUAUGAGUAGCUGCACUCCCCUGCUAAGACAUCCAAACAAGCUCUCAAGGUCCUGGGCAGAUGACCUCACUAAUGUGUCCCAACGUCUCAGCUCCCCAGAGCCCAACCCCACUAGGGAAAGAUAGAAACAGGCUGGGGCUAUGA
Molecule: unclassified non-coding RNA, 335 nt
Organism: Erinaceus europaeus (western European hedgehog)
Lineage: Eukaryota; Metazoa; Chordata; Mammalia; Eulipotyphla; Erinaceidae
Gene: 7SK
Rfam family: 7SK RNA
About the family: 7SK was discovered as an abundant small nuclear RNA in the mid-70s but a possible function has only recently been suggested. Two independent studies have found that 7SK RNA binds the CDK9/cyclin T complex (known as elongation factor P-TEFb). P-TEFb activates transcription by phosphorylating the C-terminal domain of RNA polymerase II.
Source: Ensembl